UGGGGAAUAUUGCACAAUGGGCGAAAGCCUGAUGCAGCGACGCCGCGUGAGGGAUGACGGCCUUCGGGUUGUAAACCUCUUUCAGCAGGGACGAAGCGCAAGUGACGGUACCUGCAGAAGAAGCACCAGCUAACUACGUGCCAGCAGCCGCGGUAAUACGUAGGGUGCAAGCGUUGUCCGGAAUUACUGGGCGUAAAGAGUUCGUAGGCGGUUUGUCGCGUCGUUUGUGAAAACCAGCAGCUCAACUGCUGGCUUGCAGGCGAUACGGGCAGACUUGAGUACUGCAGGGGAGACUGGAAUUCCUGGUGUAGCGGUGAAAUGCGCAGAUAUCAGGAGGAACACCGGUGGCGAAGGCGGGUCUCUGGGCAGUAACUGACGCUGAGGAACGAAAGCGUGGGUAGCGAACAGG
Molecule: ribosomal RNA, 409 nt
Filed under: Brucella melitensis
Lineage: Bacteria; Pseudomonadati; Pseudomonadota; Alphaproteobacteria; Hyphomicrobiales; Brucellaceae
Also listed under: 1 other name
Description: partial 16S ribosomal RNA
Rfam family: Bacterial small subunit ribosomal RNA
Source: RNAcentral